UUCUUCUUGUCUAUUCAAUUUUAUUUCCUCUGCUUUUUACGAAUUUCUUCCCAAGUUCCAAGGAGAGAAAGAAAGUGAAGAAGAUGCAUCCGAUCUGAAUUUGAUUCAACCAACAAGAAGCUCUUUGACUUUGACUGGCAUUAUGAAUGAAUCAUUUGAGCCUAGUUCUUCAAGUAUACUUCUUUUUCUUGGAGUUUUGUUAGAAAAGACUAAAAAGGAGAAGGCAAGGAAGACUGCAACUUGAAAUUCAAUUCUCGAGAAACACCAUAGCAGGGUUCCUGAAGUUGUGUUUUGUAUUUAUGAGUUGCACCAAAGUUACAAGAGGGUCAUGCUACUCAUUGAUCCCUAGUGAAUUACAUAUAUCCAUUCAAGAGCAUGCUUGACAGAUGAUAAGAGUUUCUACAUAUAGGUAACCUACCAAGAGAUUGAGUACCUUUUGCAUCAAAUUGAGAUGGAGAACACUGCAGAACACGUAUUGGAGAUAAUGCAUCUUUGGACAAAGGAAUGUCUUAGGCUUAUCCGACACUAGUAGGCAAGUAAGACAUGUCAUUUUCCUUUUUAGUUAAGUGAACAAGAUUCAAACUUUUGUAUGCCUAUCAUUUAUCUGGUUUAUCCUUGGCUUUUAUGCGACCCCUUUAUACAACCAAUUCUUGUUUACCAUAAUGCUUUUUAUAUGAGCAUUAAGAUAUCAGUUGACUCUGUACUUAUUAAAAUAAGAACUAACUACAUGAUCUUAUUUGCUAUUUGUCUAUAUCAAAGAAGGGUUGCAGCCGUGGGAGGAAGUCUUGAUGUUUAAAUUUUGAUGGGUGUAUGUGAUUUUAGUGUAUUAUUGAAUGAUAUAUUUUAGAAUACAGUAUAAAGUAUGGUCAAGAAUGUAGAGGUGCCAAUAGUUAGUACCUUAUUUCUUUUAAUCCAACCUCAUAAAUUUGUCACUGAUCCCAGUGAUAUUCCAAAGACACCAAUAUAUUAGAUUGUGGUUGUGGCACUGAUUUGGAUGCAAGUUAGUCGUGGUUAAAGUUAUUCCACUAUUACUUUAUUCCAAGGCACCUAUAAUAGAGGAGACUGCAUCCUAA
This is a long non-coding RNA of Rosa chinensis, 1073 nucleotides long. RefSeq lists it as uncharacterized. The transcript has 5 exons. The record is from RefSeq and is a predicted model, not a curated record. Lineage: Eukaryota; Viridiplantae; Streptophyta; Magnoliopsida; Rosales; Rosaceae.